UACGUAGGGUGCGGGCGUUAAUCGGAAUUACUGGGCGUAAAGGGUGCGCAGGCGGCCCCGCAUGUCGGGAGUGAAAUCCCCGGGCUUAACUUGGGAAUUGCAUCCGAAACUACGGGGCUGGAGUGUGGCAGAGGGAGGUGGAAUUCCACGUGUAGCGGUGAAAUGCGUAGAGAUGUGGAGGAACACCAAUGGCGAAGGCAGCCUCCUGGGCCAACACUGACGCUCAUGCACGAAAGCGUGGGUAGCAAACAGG
RNAcentral lists this ribosomal RNA (253 nucleotides) under uncultured bacterium. RNAcentral's name for it is "partial 16S ribosomal RNA". It matches the Rfam family "Bacterial small subunit ribosomal RNA", at positions 524 to 776 of the family's 1533-position model. The record is from RNAcentral.